UAAGCUCAGUCAAAUAAACAAUGAUUUA
RNAcentral lists this non-coding RNA (28 nucleotides) under Mus musculus (house mouse). Lineage: Eukaryota; Metazoa; Chordata; Mammalia; Rodentia; Muridae. The record is from RNAcentral.